Molecule: unclassified non-coding RNA, 2297 nt
Filed under: Hevea brasiliensis (rubber tree)
Lineage: Eukaryota; Viridiplantae; Streptophyta; Magnoliopsida; Malpighiales; Euphorbiaceae
Source: RNAcentral
AUGUUGGCCCGUAUCUUCACUGCCUGCUCCAUAAAAUUGAGACAAAAAGGAAGAGAGAAGCAGAAGUUGAACUUUAAGCCAAACAGGGAGAGGGGAGAGAGUUGAAAUAAAAAUCUAAACCUAAAACUAAGAGAGAGUCAAUGAUUCAAUCAGUAGACCAUAAUAAAACACUAUGCGAUAAAUUUCUUGUUCUUCAUUCAAUUGCAUUGCUCAUUCAAUUACAUUGUACAUUAUGGUCUGCAAGACAUAUUUAAAGAGCCUAAAAGCUAUUAUUUGAAAAAUGAGAUGAUAGUUCAACUUGAUAGAGAGAUAUUUAACGUAUGCUGGAACAAGGAACAUAGCAAUAGAACAAGGUCUUGGAUAUAUGGAAUAUGUUUGGAAAUAAAGCAAGCAUGGUAAUGAACAAAUAUCAUUAAAUUGACCGUCACCUGACCUUUGUCUCUCUUUUCGGUUUCUCAGCAAGAUGAUUAUUUGUCCUAAACUAAAGCAAAAACUUGAGCAUAUUUAAACCAUAAAAAUUGAGCUUAAAAUGAACCAUAUUAAGUUCAACACAUUAGCCAUAACAUUUGUUGCAGCAAUAUAAAAAAAGAAAGUCUGUGGAUGGAAGGCAUAUUAAAUCACUUAAACACCCGCUUUUACAAAAAAAAAAUAAUAAUAAUAAUUAACGGAUAGUACAAGUUAAAACCAGCAAAAGCAACACAUAUAUUUCUAAUACUCAUCAGCUGAUCCGAUUUGAAUCAGAUUUAUCAACUGAUUCAUAUUCUUUAGAAGAGCUUAAACACGAAUCUUUGUAAAAACAACUCGAAUUCAUAUUAAAAAAAUAAUAAUAAUAACAAGAAGACGAACCCUCCCCUACGAUUUGCCCAUCAGAUCUUUUCAUCGUUCAUCCUACAGCAGGAGAGGAGCUAAGCCAACCACGCCCAGAGAAAUGGCACAGGAGACCAUCAUCGCCACAUGAACACUCUACUAUUAUAUUCCCUAGCAAUCACCAAACAUAUACUUUACAUUUCUUCACUCCCCAUAAAUGAGGUGUAAGAAGCACCCCUGUGACCCCAGUAGCACCGUCGGUGUCUGUGCCUCCUGUCUCCGGGAACGCCUUCUCGUCCUCAUCGCCGCACAGGCUCGAGUUCAAUACACACAGGACCAUGCUCAAUUGGCCCGCGCCUACUCACGCGCCACCGUAGAUGAUAGUCGGAAAUCAGACGCUCGGCGACCUCCUAUUAUAUUCCCUCGCUCCGUUUCUCCUUACGUUGCUCGACGGAAAUCUGACGACACCUCCUGGUCCCACAACCUCCGCUUCUACAGUACUCCCCAGGUGGGACCCACUUACAGCUCCUCCUCCAUCGCAACCGGCUUCGCCACUUCAGCAACUUGUAAAACUAAGCGCGCCAGAUUCUCCCUUUUGUCGAAUCUAUUCAGGUCUAGAUCCGAGAAAUUUAGUCCAGAUCCUUCUGGUUCCGGUCCUGGGGUUCCUUCUCGGAAUUCGAGCGAGGCAUCAUAUUCUUCGCCGUCCUGGCUAUCAGCGAUAUUUUCCGGUCGCAGGAAAAAGCAAUCUGCGCUCUUCUCUGAGCAAUAUUCGGGCGUUGUAGGUCAUAAACCACGUCGGAGGAUGGAUCGAGGAAUGUCGCCAGCGAGAGGGGCGGAUUCCGACGAUGAUUGUGAGGAUUGCAAUCGGUCUCCGUCUGGCAGUGGGUCCUCUUCGGAGUCAUCACAGGCACAGUGGUGGAAGAGGACACCAGUAGCACCAGCAGCGAUGAGGAGAGGGAAGCCGGGAAACGGCACAAACGUAUCGGGAUUAGCGUUUUGUUUGAGCCCUCUGCUGAGGGCCAGCCCUAACCGGCACUGGAACCAGAAAGGCGGAUUGCCACCCGAUAUGGGAUUCUCCGGGGAGGCGAGGGUUCCCGUGAAGCCUCAUCUGUCCGUGGCGGCGUCAUUUUACGCGAACCGGUCGCGGAAGCUAUGCGAUUUUGGAAGGGUUCAUCACAACCGUUGAGAACGGAUCAUUGACUUUGACAAUGGCAAUGGUAAUAAUUAUAAAAGUACGGUUUUGGCCCUCCUAUAUUGCAGUUUUAACUUCUUUUGUUAUAUAUAAAUGUUUGAUAAAUUAGAUCAUAGAGGGAGGGAAAAGGGAAAAAAAAAAAGAAGGAAAAUGGGUGUUUGGUUUUCUCUGUACAUUAGCGAUGUUUAUUAUUAGCAGCAUAAACAAAAAGGAAGUACUAUGUAUCUUUUUUGUUGUAUAGUUUGUGAAAUAUUUACGUAUAGUGAAAUUUAAUUUUAUUGGAAAUUAAUUAUUAUAU